Gorilla gorilla gorilla (western lowland gorilla) is the source of this 278-nucleotide long non-coding RNA. RefSeq lists it as uncharacterized. The transcript has 2 exons. Lineage: Eukaryota; Metazoa; Chordata; Mammalia; Primates; Hominidae. The record is from RefSeq and is a predicted model, not a curated record.
AGAGAACAUCUUGAACUCCGACUGGAUGGAAAAUCAGGUGCUUCUACCAGCACAAGGGGAAGUCAGGCAGCCACAGCCCAUGUCCACUUCGACUUCGGCCUCACGGUCCCAGUGACCUGCCGAGUGGGAAGAGCCGUGGCUGGCCGGUCUCCCAGUGGCGACGACGACCUCGCUGUGUUCGUGGCAGCGGCACUCUCAAAUCUGGGCACGGUGAUGGGAAGGUUAUUUGUUGGAAUCCCUUUGCCUUUCCAAGGGAAAAUAAACACAAAAAGUGAGAA